Molecule: non-coding RNA, 46 nt
Organism: Schistosoma mansoni
Lineage: Eukaryota; Metazoa; Platyhelminthes; Trematoda; Strigeidida; Schistosomatidae
Source: Rfam
GCACUGCUGAGGAGUCCCAUAAUAGGACGGAACGGCCGUUCAGUGC